This is an RNA transcript of Chrysemys picta bellii (western painted turtle), 3016 nucleotides long. It is a transcript of the gene named zinc finger protein 143, with no coding region annotated. NCBI's taxonomy places the organism in Eukaryota, Metazoa, Chordata, Testudines, Emydidae. The record is from RefSeq and is a predicted model, not a curated record.
CGGCUGUCCAAUGGCGGCUCGGCAAAUGCUGGUUGCGGGGCCCGCCCGCACGGCUCUGGGCGGCGCUGGAGCGGGCGGGCGCUGAGGCGGCCGUUUCCUGUCCUGGUGCAUGGUGGUCGGACGGAGGAAUUGUUGGAAAAUUUCUCGGCGAGAUAAACCAUGUUAUUAGCCCAGAUAAAUCGAGACUCUCAGGGAAUGACUGAGUUUUCUGGAGGAGGGAUGGAGGCUCAGCAUGUAACUCUCUGUUUGACAGAAGCAGUAGCUGUGCAAGAUGGUGACAAUUUAGAAAACAUGGAAGGUGUAAGUUUGCAGGCAGUUACGCUUGCUGAUGGCUCCACUGCUUACAUACAGCACAAUUCUAAAGAUGGUAAAUUAAUGGAUGGCCAGGUGAUUCAACUAGAAGAUGGCUCUGCUGCCUAUGUUCAACAUGUAUCCAUGCCAAAAAGUAGGGACAGUCUGCGCCUGGAAGAUGGACAGGCAGUUCAGCUGGAAGAUGGAACUACUGCAUUUAUUCAUCAUGCUUCAAAAGACAGUUAUGACCAGAGUGCAUUACAGGCAGUCCAGCUGGAAGAUGGAACCACUGCUUACAUUCACCAUACAGUUCAAAUGCCACAGUCAGAUACCAUCUUAGCUAUUCAAGCUGAUGGCACAGUAGCAGGCCUUCAUACAGGAGAUGCUACAAUUGAUCCAGAUACCAUCAGUGCUUUGGAGCAGUAUGCAGCCAAGGUGUCUAUUGAUGGAAAUGAAAGUGUUAGUAGCUCAGGAAUGAUAGGUGAAAAUGAACAAGAGAAAAAAAUGCAGAUUGUCUUGCAAGGACAUGGAACAAGAGUGACAGCUAAAUCUCAGCCAAGUGGAGAGAAGGCUUUUCGCUGUGAAUAUGAUGGCUGUGGAAAAUUGUACACAACAGCUCACCAUCUUAAGGUGCAUGAAAGGUCACACACAGGAGAUCGACCAUAUCAAUGUGAACAUCCUGGUUGCGGCAAAGCAUUUGCAACAGGUUAUGGAUUAAAAAGCCAUGUCCGAACCCAUACUGGAGAGAAGCCCUAUCGGUGUACGGAGGAGAACUGCACCAAGUCAUUCAAGACUUCUGGGGACCUGCAGAAACAUAUCAGAACCCACACAGGUGAAAGACCAUUCAAAUGUCCCUUUGAAGGCUGUGGAAGGUCGUUCACAACAUCCAAUAUUAGAAAAGUUCACAUCAGGACGCAUACUGGUGAAAGACCCUAUUACUGUACAGAACCAGGAUGUGGGAGAGCAUUUGCCAGUGCAACCAAUUACAAGAACCAUGUGAGAAUACAUACAGGUGAGAAGCCCUAUGUCUGCACAGUUCCUGGCUGUGACAAACGUUUCACAGAAUAUUCCAGUUUAUACAAACAUCAUGUUGUACAUACUCAUUCCAAACCAUACAACUGCAAUCACUGUGGGAAAACAUACAAGCAGAUUUCCACACUUGCUAUGCACAAGCGGACAGCGCACAACGACACAGAGCCAAUUGAAGAAGAGCAGGAAGCUUUCUUUGAGCCGCCUCCAGGUCAAGGUGAAGAUGUUCUAAAAGGCUCCCAGAUAACCUAUGUCACAGGUGUAGAUGGGGAGGAUGUCGUUUCCGCACAAGUUGCUACAGUUACUCAGUCAGGGCUUGGUCAACAAGUUGCAUUAAUUUCCCAGGAUGGGACCCAGCAUGUCAACAUCUCUCAGGCUGACAUGCAGGCCAUUGGAAAUACUAUUACUAUGGUAACACAAGAUGGCACCACCAUCACAGUCCCUGCCCAUGAUGCAGUCAUUUCUUCUGCAGGAACACAUUCUGUUGCAAUGGUAACUGCAGAGGGCACUGAAGGACAGCAGGUUGCUAUAGUGGCUCAAGAUUUAGCAUUCCAUAGUGCCCCAUCAGAAAUGGGACAUCAGCAACAUGGGCAUCACUUAGUGACUACAGAAACCAGGCCUGUUACAUUGUUGGCUACAUCCAAUGGAACGCAAAUUGCAGUGCAGGUUCCUCAUCUAGAGUCAGUUCCCAGACACUUCAUCCCCCUUGGUUGAAGGAUUCAACUUUCUCAGAUUACAAGAGCACUGGCCCUUUGUCUCUGUCCUAUGAUGGAUCACGAAAUGGCUUUUUGCUUCUGCUUAUAUCUUCCCAAAGUUUAUUGAUCUUGUUUCAAGAGGCAGGAAGGCGUCCUGGUGGUGCAGCCACAAUCCCCUGUCGUGAUUGUUAAGUGGUCAUCUUCUGCCAGUUGCUCACCUGAUGACUUUGUUUACCUUACACCUUGGAGAGCAGCAGUCUUUGGAAGAAGCCAUCAGAAUAGCCUCCAGAAUACAACAGGGUGAAACACCAGGGAUUGAUGAUUAACUUCUAAUACUGCUACAAGAACAAUAGAGCAAAUGAUAUUUUAUUUUCAAUCAACAAAGGUCCAUGCCAGCUGCAAUCCAUAAAAACUUUGAUGUUUUCCUGCUCAUUCAUACUCUGUACACAUUUUAUGCAAGAGCGAAGAACAUUUUAAAACGCGCAUAACUUUUGUGUACCUGACCCGUGGAAUAGACCAGCACAAUCUUCUCAACCCAUUGUGUAUCCAGGAAUAUGAAAUUAGGAUUACAUAAUAAAUUUCCUCAUUAUCCUUUCGUCAGAUUUCAACCAGUCUACAAAAAAGCAAAAGCUGAUGUAGAAGUAUUGGAAUGAAUUUUUAAUAUAAUGUGCAAAAUAAUGAAGGCAUUAUUGAAGAUUUCAAAUGUUUAAAAUAUUAUACCAAAAUCAUUUCAGGAACCCUUACAGGUAAUAAAGAAAGUAAAGCAUUUUAAUUGUCUCCCAUAAAUAGAAGAAUCUUGGAGUUAAGCCUACUGUAAAUCUUUGCAUUUUGAUUUGCAUUUCAUACAGAUUUGAAGAUUCUUCUUAUUUAGAUUCCCUGCCCAGCUCAUUCAUUGUACAUACAGACUGUUAAUGCUGGAAGUGCUAAUUAUAUUAUCUUAAAAAUGGAUUAUGUACAAAAGAGAAACUUUGGUUGUUCAAUAUUAAAGGAAGUAAAUCUAA